This 301-nucleotide ribosomal RNA is filed under the name uncultured bacterium. RNAcentral describes it as "partial 16S ribosomal RNA". It matches the Rfam family "Bacterial small subunit ribosomal RNA", at positions 509 to 807 of the family's 1533-position model. The record is from RNAcentral.
CAGUAGCCGCGGUAAUACGGAGGGUGCAAGCGUUAAUCGGAAUUACUGGGCGUAAAGCGCACGCAGGCGGUUUGUUAAGUCAGAUGUGAAAUCCCCGAGCUUAACUUGGGAACUGCAUUUGAAACUGGCAAGCUAGAGCCUUGUAGAGGGGGGUAGAAUUCCAGGUGUAGCGGUGAAAUGCGUAGAGAUCUGGAGGAAUACCGGUGGCGAAGGCGGCCCCCUGGACAAAGACUGACGCUCAGGUGCGAAAGCGUGGGGAGCAAACAGGAUUAGAUACCCCUGUAGUCCCUGUCUCUUAUAC